This 372-nucleotide ribosomal RNA is filed under the name uncultured bacterium. Its description in RNAcentral is "bacterial SSU rRNA". It matches the Rfam family "Bacterial small subunit ribosomal RNA", at positions 59 to 449 of the family's 1533-position model. The record is from RNAcentral.
AAGUCGAACGCAGCAGCUUCGGCUGGCUGCGUGGCGAACGGCUGAGGAACACGUGGGUGACCUGCCCCAGAGUGGGGGAUACCCCGUCGAAAGACGGGAUAAUCCCGCAUACGCUCUACGGAGGAAAGCCCCUACGGGCGCUCUGGGAGGGGCCUGCGGCCCAUCAGGUAGUUGGUGUGGUAACGGCGCACCAAGCCGCUGACGGGUACCCGGUCUGAGAGGACGACCGGGCAGACUGGGACUGCGACACGGCCCAGACUCCUACGGGAGGCAGCAGCAAGGAAUUUUCGGCAAUGGGCGCAAGCCUGACCGAGCAACGCCGCGUGCGGGAUGACGGCCUUCGGGUUGUAAACCGCUUUUCGGGGGGACGAC